Long non-coding RNA from Pangasianodon hypophthalmus (striped catfish), 3541 nucleotides. RefSeq lists it as uncharacterized. The transcript has 4 exons. Lineage: Eukaryota; Metazoa; Chordata; Actinopteri; Siluriformes; Pangasiidae. The record is from RefSeq and is a predicted model, not a curated record.
CCUGGAAUUUAUCACAGCAGAAGAACUUUCACGUGUUUGGUUCUAUCCGUUCCAGUUUUAGCUUUUAACACUCCACCAGGAAAUGACUAAGAAUGUACUUCUCAUUGCCACUAGGAGGAGCAACUGUCAUACUGAGUUUUUUCUUAGGUAAAGGAGAAGCUCUGGAGGGUUCACGGGCAUAGAGUUUUGUGCUGAACUGGGAUGUUUGGAUGCUGUCAUCUCCCCAUUCUCACGCGUUCACUCAGGUUUGUUGACAGUGGUGUGGCUGGCCGUGAUAUGUCCCACGGCUCCCUCGUGUCCGUGUUACCUUCUGGCUCUCCCUUUUAGUUAUGCUGUCACAGCUAGUCUUGCCGGAAUCCCUGCUUGUACUGUGCACACAAUGUACAUUGUCCUUAACCAUACCAUGACAACUAGCGUACCUAAUAAUCUCUCUCUCUCUCUCUCUCUCUCUCUCUCUGUUGAGCUACACAUGCUACUCCUGAGAUACUAGUGAUCCUGACCCCUUCUGCUCUCCGGACCUGCCUGAUCCAGCCUGAUGCCCUACUUCUGUUGGAGUUCUCAUCACUUGGAAACCACUCGCUGUUGCUGAGAAUGGCCCCACACGGACAGCCUGAAGAUCGAUGAGAUUAGUGAGGGUGGUACCACUUAGAAACCAUGAAGAUGGCUUUGGACUUCAAUUGAUACAAACAAUUUUGCUACGAUGGCUUAGGACUACAAUUGCUAUGAUAGCUUUAGGACCGCAAUUGCCACAAACUCAAGUCUCAUAACUUCAUAACUUCAACAAAAUAGACUUCAUGUGAAAACUAUAAUGAAUUUCCUUGUUACACAUUUGCACAUUUUGACCAUGUAGUAUACAGUUAUUGUAGGGAAUUAUUUAUAGUUACACUAUCCGGUGUCACCCACAUGAGGAUGAGUUCCCUUUUGACUCUGGUUCCUCUCAAGGUUUCUUCCUCAUAUUGUCUCAGGGAGUUUUUCCUUGCCACCGUCGCCUCUGGCUUGCUCAUUAGGGAUAAAUUUAUACCUUUCUCUAAAGCUACUUUGUGACAAUGUCCAUUGUUAAAAGCGCUAUACACAUUAGAUUGAAUUGAUAAACGUGACUAUUUAGCUCAACAGUGAGAAUGAUUAUUAAUUUCCUCCAGUUUAGGGAUUAAAUUUUUUUAAUUAAUUCUUAUCAUUUUAAAAUGGCAGAAAAUAAUAUUUUCUUGCAUAUUGUAAAAUACUGGACUAUGUAUAAAAUCAUAAAUCUUAAAAUUUGAUCUUUUAAGUGUUAAAUCAAAACACAAUUAGGCUUAAAAUCCUGGCUUAUUAUUCAAUUGUGAAUCUUUAACCAUAUUAUUCAGUUACUACUAUGAAUUACGUAUAUAGUAACUACAGUAAAAUCAAUAGGAAAGCUAUUUACAAGAAGAUGUCUAAGGGGUUAAAGAAAUAGAAGUAAAUGGAUGAAUGGGUAAAUAAAGUGAUGGAUCCACCAAUAAAAUCAAUAAAAACAUCCAAUAUAGGUUUAGCUAUGCUCCUCAAUAUAAACUACAUUAUUUUAACUAAAGAUUAAUUUAUUUCUAUAUCAUUUCUAUGAUAUGACAGAAGCUUUUUAUGCAUUUAUUUAUCGCAACUAUUAAUGCAAGAUACUAGGUCAAUCAUUCACCGGAAUGAAAACUGAGACAAUUUGAGUUAAAGGGGUAUUUGUCGGUGUAUGUGUGUGUUAAAUGGACUGUGAGUUAUUGUGGCUGCGUUAUUGUGUGUACCUUCAGAGCCUCGAUUUCCUGUCUGUGUUUCCUCUGCUGUUCCUGCAGCUGUUGGUCAUACUGCUCAUGGAGUUUAGCACUCAUCUCCUUCAAAGCGUGAGCACUGGCCUCUUGCGAAGACUCCAUCUACACACACACACACACAAACAAACACACACAUCCACCAAGCCAUGGAAACUACCUGUUGUUUCAGCAUUUGGUUUUCAACAUGGGCAGCAGCCAGCUGUCUCUCCUUCUCCCUCAGUUUCUCCUCAGUCUUUUCGAAGGAACUGCGCAGCGCUUUCAUCUCCUCCCUGUUUCCCACACGGCCCUGACAGCUCUCCAGCAGUGACUUCUACACUUUCAUGUCAAUACCUGAAGCAACUGACAGCGGAGUGAAUGCGGUUCUUGAUUACCUACCUGCAAGUCGAUGUUGGCUGAUAUGAGAGAGCUGUUCAUCUGAUCAAAACUAUCGAGGGCCGCUCUCCCUGUUCUUACUUCUGCUUCCAAAUAGCGCUUAUGUGAGUUAGCCAUCUGUAACACACACAGCCACAGCAUGCUGUUGGACACAGUGUAAUGAUUCCAACCUGAAAUGUACUAAAAUAAACAAUACUGUGCUUGCUGCCUGAUUGUGCUGAAUUUGUACUAUAUGAAGCUGUGUUAAUUAGUGAACAUAAAAACAGGAUCGGCAUUUUAACACUCUUUAACACACCAUUGUUGGCCGUCCUUUGCCAUUUCCCUCAGCUGAAACACCCAUGAUCUCAAAGACUAUUUCAUUAAUUUAUCAGGUCAUAAGAAGUGCUUGUAGGAGUUAAUAGUGGCAUUUAUAUAUUUUUUUUUAAAUACACAUUCUAUUUAUAGGUGAAAUCAGCUGAAAAAGAUUAUUUGACCUACAUUCUUUUCAGAUUUUGUAGGUUUCGGAUUUAAUUUAAAUUAUUUUGGCUCUGGGGUCAGAUUGAAAGUUGUGGAGUACAUGAAUACACACUAGAUUCAUGGGCAAAACAGGUUUAAUGUAGCAUUAAUGUAAAAUGUAAAGUGAAAGUAGCUACUUUAUCUGGUUGUAUAGGAGACUACAAGUGAAUUAGGCUACAGUUUAAUUUAUGACUGAUUUUUCUUUUUUUUGGUUAGCUGGAGGCAGUAUUUCUCAUAAAUUAAGGUUUUUUUAAAUCUUAAUUUUCAUGUUUUUGUUUUGUUUUGUUUAUUCAUAUAUUAAAAUGACAAUUUUUAAAAUUUUUUGAAAAUCACUUCAGAUACAGUACUGUGCAAAAGUCUUAGGCACCCUAUUUUUUUUUUUUAAUACAAUUUUUGUCUUAAAUGUUUAUUUUAUGACUUCUGCAUUAUUGAGUCAAUAAAAAAAAAUUUAGAUUCCAAACAUUACUUUCCAACAAGAAAUUAAAUGUUACAGGAAAAUGUUUUUAUGGCAGUAAAGAAAGCAGCAUAUUACACAUUACACCACUUUUCAGGCAAAUAACAUAAUGAAGUCUAUCCGGUUUUAUCUGCAAAAACAGAUUUUAGUUGUACAAAUGUUUAAUUUCAUUAUUUCUGAAGGCACCUUUUCUUUAUAGCAUUUCUUUGCAUGUGCCUAAGACUUUUGCACAGUACUGUAUAUCAGUCUCAGUGGUUGAAUUCAAGGGGAAUUGUGGGAUUGGUGAUGUAUAUCUGACUUUAGUAGAAAAAUAUAAACACAUAAAUAGACUUAUCAGAUUAUGUCUCAUAAAUUGGGAUGUUCUUAAACUCAUUGGUCUAGUAACUGAUUGCUGAUUAAUAAAUUAAACUAGUAUACGUAAGUAGUUCAGAUGUAAUUUGGCCACAGUUUGUGA